GACUCUUUUGUGUGCUGUCUGGGGGAGGUUUUCCAGAGCCUGGCGUAGCUGGGUCUGGCUGGGAGGUUGAGAUAGUGGGUGAUUAGGCUGGUCAGUCUGCACCAGCAUAGUUUAGUUAGAGAGGGCUCCAAUUGGGAGCUAGGUUUUCGUUUUAUGAUUUGGUUUUGGGGUUUGAGCGAUUAAAAAUAAAGCGCUAUUUUGUUCAAAGCUGCUGUUCCUGACUCUGAUUGCCCUAGAGGACUGUGCUUAGGACCCCUAAAAAGUGACAUAAUGCGGGCAAAGCACUGCUAUGGUCUGUGGGCAGAAAGCAGGAACCAA
Spea bombifrons (plains spadefoot toad) is the source of this 318-nucleotide long non-coding RNA. RefSeq lists it as uncharacterized. NCBI's taxonomy places the organism in Eukaryota, Metazoa, Chordata, Amphibia, Anura, Pelobatidae. The transcript has 2 exons. The record is from RefSeq and is a predicted model, not a curated record.